CGAGAGCGUAUAUUAAAGUUGUUGCAGUUAAACCGCUCGUAGUUGGGUGUCUGCCCAGGGCGUCCGGUCCGCCCGCUGGGUGUGUAUCUGGCUUGGCCUGGGCAUCUCCCUGGGGGCUGUCACGGUGCUUGACUGUGUGGUGUGGCACUCAGGGCUUUUACUUUGAGGAAAUUAGAGUGCUUCAAGCAGGCCCACACCAUGAAUACCAGAGCAUGGAAUAACAAGGGAGGGUGCAGGCUCUAUUUGUUGGUUUCCUAGAGCUGUGGUAAUGUUUACUGGGGACAGCUGGGGGCAUCUGUAUUUAGCUGUCAGAGGUGAAAUUCUUGGAUUUGCCAAAGACAGACUUCUGCGAAAGCAUUUGCCAGGCAUGUUUUCAUUGAUCAAGAACGAAAGUUAGGGGAUCGAAGAUGAUCAGAUACCAU
Molecule: ribosomal RNA, 422 nt
Filed under: uncultured eukaryote
Lineage: Eukaryota
Description: SSU rRNA
Rfam family: Eukaryotic small subunit ribosomal RNA
Source: RNAcentral